RNAcentral lists this long non-coding RNA (470 nucleotides) under Actinidia chinensis (golden kiwifruit). RNAcentral describes it as "long non-coding RNA (ACHI_LNC003658)". Lineage: Eukaryota; Viridiplantae; Streptophyta; Magnoliopsida; Ericales; Actinidiaceae. The record is from RNAcentral.
UUUUUUUUUUUUUUUUGUUUUUUUUUUUUUUUUUUUUUUUUUUUUUGGUUUUUUUUUUUGGGCAAUAAUCACCAUUAUCGUUCCACCUAGGAUUCUGUGAUUCUCAAUACAUACUUGAAACCUAUUGUUAUCCCUGCAACUAAUCAAAGAAACAAAUAGCCUGAUUCUAGAUUAUGAUGUUGCUAUGCCCUAACAUGUCACUAGUCACUGGGAGUCUGGGAUUUGGACUAGAAACUGACGUGAGAAAGCGGUAACCGAAGCCCGCGAAGCAAAAGCACACAAAUGGUGUUCAAAACUUUCAAGUUCAGCGCAAGCAAAGAGAUAUAUAAUCUAUAGAAACCCAGAACCAAUAUAUACACAGUUAGGCAGAAAAAUGCCAUAUUAUCCAGAAACCAAAAAUACCCAUUGGACACGUAACACCAAAGAAAUAAAAACCAUUUAAACAAGGAUGACAACUCACAACGCUAACG